CAGGAGUCUGUCCAAGAAGUACCAUCCUAAGAGAAGCAGAGAGGACGAGAGCAGGUACACCUGGUGUUUGGCGUUUGCGGCCACGCUCCGUCAGCUGAACGAACUCGCGGUUCAGAGAGAAGAACUCGCCGAAAACCUGAACACACAGAUCGUGUGUGAGCUGACACGAUACACACAGGAAGUGAAGACUGAGAGAAAGACUCAUUUCCAAGAUGGCCGCCGUGCCCAGCAGCACAUCGAGAGCUCCUGGAAACAGCUGGAGUCUAGUAAACGAAGGUUUGAGCGUGACUGCAAGGAGGCGGAACGAGCUCAACAAGUCUCCGAGAGAAUCGACCUCGACAACAAGACGGACGGA
Molecule: non-coding RNA, 355 nt
Organism: Plectropomus leopardus (leopard coralgrouper)
Lineage: Eukaryota; Metazoa; Chordata; Actinopteri; Perciformes; Serranidae
Source: RefSeq, a predicted model, not a curated record